This is a long non-coding RNA of Argiope bruennichi, 487 nucleotides long. RefSeq lists it as uncharacterized. The record is from RefSeq and is a predicted model, not a curated record. NCBI's taxonomy places the organism in Eukaryota, Metazoa, Arthropoda, Arachnida, Araneae, Araneidae. The transcript has 4 exons.
GCCUCGGACUUGAAGGAACGGGCAUACCAGAGAGACGGACGAUCGAGUUUUUUUGAAAGGUGCAUAUUAAAAAGAUGGAUAGUCUUCUUAAUACUUGCGGAAAUUAUGCAUUAUUAUCUCACUGCCAUUGCUUAUUUUACUAAUCAUUUCCUUUCAAUGCCAACAUUGUUUCAAAGUCAUCCGAAUUUGAGCUACCAUCUAACUUCUGCUAAUGGGGAUUUUCUACAAAUAUUUUAAAGUGGAAUUCAAAAACAAAAAGCAUUGAUGAUGAAAAAAAUCCAGCCAAGUCAAAGAAAAUUGUGGACAGAAUAAAGAAUUCUUGAAAUGAAGAAUGGAAAGUUUUUAAAAAAGUGCAGGUUUAAGGUAAAAGAAAGAAGAAAUAGAAACGCUCGCAGUGUACUUUCAAGAUACAGAUUAAAUAUACAAACCAAAAGAAAUAAUACACAUGCAUUUCUGGAAUUUCCCGAUUAAUUUUUUACAUGCUGUU